GGGGCCGAUCGGUUUCGACCGGACAGGGAAGGCUUGACGUGGCGCGUCGAGGGGCGUGCUGGCCUCGUAAAAAGCACGCACCAACAAUAACUGCCAACAACAGCGGUUAUGCUCUCGCGGCCUAAUUAGGCUCGCGCAGACCCCACCCCACGCCCGAUAGGGCGGGGUCUGAAUGACAUCGGGCUGGCUCCAAAGCGGCGUCUCGGCGCGGCGGAGUAAGACUGCACCGAGACUUGGCAAAAGGAAAGGGUGUCGCUGCCCGCUCCCAAGCCGAAAUCAAACCAGCGAAUACACGCGUAGAAGCGUCCUGCUGACUGUCACGGCACGGGGGUUCGAUUCCCCCCGGCUCCAUUU
This 354-nucleotide transfer-messenger RNA is filed under the name Phycisphaerales. Its description in RNAcentral is "PNC22 sp013285505 Standard tmRNA". It matches the Rfam family "transfer-messenger RNA". Rfam says of the family: Bacterial tmRNA, also known as 10Sa RNA or SsrA, is named for its dual tRNA and mRNA-like properties. Its role is to liberate the mRNA from a stalled ribosome. RNAcentral also lists the same sequence under 1 other name. Lineage: Bacteria; Pseudomonadati; Planctomycetota; Phycisphaerae. The record is from RNAcentral.